GAGUGGCGGAAAUGGUAGACGCGCUAGACUUAGGAUCUAGUGGGGUCACCCGUGGGGGUUCGAGUCCCCCCUCUCGCA
RNAcentral lists this transfer RNA (78 nucleotides) under Acidobacteria bacterium RBG_16_68_9. RNAcentral describes it as "tRNA-Leu". It matches the Rfam family "tRNA". From Rfam's summary of the family: Transfer RNA (tRNA) molecules are approximately 80 nucleotides in length. Their secondary structure includes four short double-helical elements and three loops (D, anti-codon, and T loops). The record is from RNAcentral. Lineage: Bacteria; Pseudomonadati; Acidobacteriota.